UACGUAGGGGGCGAGCGUUAUCCGGAUUCACUGGGCGUAAAGGGAGCGCAGGCGGCACGGCAAGUCCGGUGUGAAAGCCCGGGGCCCAACCCCGGGACUGCACUGGAAACUGCCGGGCUGGAGUGCCGGAGGGGUAAGCGGAAUUCCUGGUGUAGCGGUGAAAUGCGCAGAUAUCAGGAGGAACACCGGUGGCGGAGGCGGCUUACUGGACGGCAACUGACGCUGAGGCUCGAAAGCGUGGGGAGCAAACAGG
Molecule: ribosomal RNA, 253 nt
Filed under: uncultured bacterium
Lineage: Bacteria
Description: partial 16S ribosomal RNA
Rfam family: Bacterial small subunit ribosomal RNA
Source: RNAcentral